Molecule: ribosomal RNA, 493 nt
Filed under: uncultured bacterium
Lineage: Bacteria
Description: bacterial SSU rRNA
Rfam family: Bacterial small subunit ribosomal RNA
Source: RNAcentral
UAUCGACGUAGUUUGAUCCUGGCUACAGAAUCAACGCUGGCGGCGUGCCUCAGACAUGCAAGUCGAACGAUUAAAGCUCUCUUCGGAGAGUGUAUAGAGUGGCGCACGGGUGAGUAACACGUAAGUAAUCUACCCUCGAGUGGGGAAUAACAACCGGAAACGGUUGCUAAUACCGCAUAAUGCAGCGACACCGCAAGGUGACAGUUGUUAAAGAUUUAUCGCUUGAGGAGGAGCUUGCGGCAGAUUAGCUAGUUGGUAGGGUAACGGCUUACCAAGGCUACGAUCUGUAACCGGUCUAAGAGGACGGUCGGUCACACUGACACUGAAUAACGGGUCAGACUCCUACGGGAGGCAGCAGUCGGGAAUUUUGGGCAAUGGGCGAAAGCCUGACCCAGCAACGCCGCGUGAAGGAUGAAGUAUUUCGGUAUGUAAACUUCGAAAGAAUAGGAAGAAUUAAUGACGGUACUAUUUAUAAGGUCCGGCUAACUACGUG